Molecule: ribosomal RNA, 1191 nt
Filed under: Triticum aestivum (bread wheat)
Lineage: Eukaryota; Viridiplantae; Streptophyta; Magnoliopsida; Poales; Poaceae
Description: partial small subunit ribosomal RNA
Source: RNAcentral
AUGGCAAAGCCCCGCAAGAACUCUGCCGCCGCCGCCGCCGCCGCGGCGGCGAACAGCAACGCCAGCGCGGCCGCCGACGCGGGGGCCGACGUGCGCGCCAAGCCCAAGAAGCGCACGCGGAAGAGCGUGCCCCGCGAGUCCCCCUCCCAGCGCAGCUCCGUCCACCGCGGCGUCACACGGCACCGGUGGACGGGGAGGUUCGAGGCGCACCUGUGGGACAAGAACAGCUGGAACGAGUCGCAGAACAAGAAGGGCAAGCAAGUUUACCUCGGGGCGUAUGACGAGGAGGAGGCCGCGGCCCGGGCGUACGACCUGGCGGCAUUGAAGUACUGGGGCCCCGACACCAUCCUCAACUUCCCGCUGUCUAUAUACGAAGAGGAGUUGAAAGAAAUGGAGGGACAAUCAAGGGAAGAGUAUAUUGGGUCCCUGAGGAGGAAAAGCAGUGGUUUCUCACGAGGGGUCUCCAAGUACCGCGGUGUCGCAAGGCAUCAUCACAACGGGAGAUGGGAGGCCCGGAUUGGCCGUGUGUUCGGCAACAAGUACCUCUACCUCGGCACCUACGCGACGCAGGAGGAGGCGGCGAUGGCGUACGACAUGGCGGCGAUCGAGUACCGCGGCCUCAACGCGGUCACCAACUUCGACCUCAGCCGCUACAUCAAGUGGCUCCGCCCGGGCGCCGCCGACGUGGCGGCCGGCGCCGGCCGGAGCGCGCACCCGAUGCUGGCCGGCCUCGCGGCGCAGGAGCUCCCCGCGAUCGACCUCGACGCCAUGGCGUUCCAGCACGACCUCCACCAGCAGGGCAUGGAGGACGGCAUGGCUGCGGAGGCGGCGGCGGCCGCGGCGGGGACGGCGCAGUUCCCGCUGCUGCCGGCCAGGGCGUCCACGCUCGGUCACACGCCCACCACGUCCGCGCUCAGCCUGCUGCUGCAGUCGCCCAAGUUCAAGGAGAUGAUCGAGCGGACGUCGGCCGCCGAGAGCAGCACCACCACGUCCUCCUCGUCCAUGUCCACGCCCCCGCCGCCGCAGGCCACCAGGGACGACGGCGCCUCGCCGCAGUGCAGCUUCCCGGAGGACAUCCAGACCUUCUUCGGCAGCGACGACGGCGUGGCCUACACCGACGUCGACGGCCUCUUCUUCGGGGACCUGUCCGCCUACGCGUCGCCGGCGUUCCAGUUCGAGCUGGACUUGUGA